RNAcentral lists this ribosomal RNA (367 nucleotides) under uncultured alga. RNAcentral describes it as "bacterial LSU rRNA". It matches the Rfam family "Bacterial large subunit ribosomal RNA", at positions 2098 to 2465 of the family's 2925-position model. The record is from RNAcentral.
GCUUGACUGUAGCUUGUAAUUGGGUUCGGGCUUUUUUUGCGCAGCCUAGGUGGGAGGCAACGAUGAUUUUUUCCGGAAAAAUUUGAGCCGUUAGUGAGAGACCACUCUGAAAAGGCUAGAAUCCUAAUAAUGAUCCUUGAAUCAGGACAUUUGACAGUUGCAGGUGGGCAGUUUUACUGGGGCGGUAUUCUCCUAAAAAGUAACGGAGGGGUGCAAAGGUUCCCUCAAGCUGGACGGAAAUCAGCUUAAGAGUGUAAAGGCAAAAGGGAGCUUGACUGCAAGACCUACAAGUCGAGCAGGGCGAAAGCCGGCCUUAGUGAUCCGACGGUACCACGUGGAAGGGCCGUCGCUCAACGGAUAAAAGUUA